CCUACGGGAGGCAGCAGCAGGGAAUAUUGUGCAAUGAACGAAAGUUUGACACAGCGACACCGCGUGUGGGAUGACGGAUCUAGGUUUGUAAACCACUUUCAGGAGGGAAGAAAAUGACGGUACCUCCACAAGAAGCCCCGGCCAACUACGUGCCAGCAGCCGCGGUAAUACGUAGGGGGCGAGCGUUGUCCGGAUUUAUUGGGCGUAAAGAGCUCGUAGGCGGUUCAACAAGUCGGUCGUGAAAGUUCAGGGCUCAACCCUGAAAUGUCGAUCGAUACUGUUGUGACUAGGAUACGGUAGAGGUGAGUGGAAUUCCGAGUGUAGCGGUGAAAUGCGUAGAUAUUCGGAGGAACACCAAUUGCGAAGGCAGCUCACUGGACCGCUAUCGACGCUGAGGAGCGAAAGCUAGGGGAGCAAACAGGAUUAGAUACCCUGGUAGUCCUAGCUGUAAACGAUGGAUACUAGACGUAGGAACCGGAUUGACGGUUUCUGUGUCGUAGCUAACGCGUUAAGUAUCCCGCCUGGGGAGUACGGUCGCAAGACUAAAACUCAAAUGAAUUGACGG
Molecule: ribosomal RNA, 565 nt
Filed under: uncultured bacterium
Lineage: Bacteria
Description: bacterial SSU rRNA
Rfam family: Bacterial small subunit ribosomal RNA
Source: RNAcentral